RNAcentral lists this ribosomal RNA (443 nucleotides) under uncultured bacterium. Its description in RNAcentral is "partial 16S ribosomal RNA". It matches the Rfam family "Bacterial small subunit ribosomal RNA", at positions 338 to 795 of the family's 1533-position model. The record is from RNAcentral.
CCUACGGGGUGCAGCAGUGGGGAAUAUUGGGCAAUGGGCGCAAGCCUGACCCAGCAACGCCGCGUGAAGGAAGAAGGCUCUCGGGUUGUAAACUUCUUUUAUCAGGGACGAAGCAAGUGACGGUACCUGAUGAAUAAGCCACGGCUAACUACGUGCCAGCAGCCGCGGUAAGAAGUAGGUGGCAAGCGUUAUCCGGAUUUACUGGGUGUAAAGGGCGUGUAGGCGGGAAAGCAAGUCAGAUGUGAAAACCAUGGGCUCAACCUGUGGCCUGCAUUUGAAACUGUUUUUCUUGAGUACUGGAGAGGCAGACGGAAUUCCUAGUGUAGCGGUGAAAUGCGUAGAUAUUAGGAGGAACACCAGUGGCGAAGGCGGUCUGCUGGACAGCAACUGACGCUGAGGCGCGAAAGCGUGGGGAGCAAACAGGAUUAGAUACCCCGGUAGUC